UACGUAGGGUGCAAGCGUUGUCCGGAAUUAUUGGGCGUAAAGAGCUCGUAGGCGGUCCGUCGCGUCGAAUGUGAAAACCCGGGGCUCAACUCCGGGCUUGCAUUCGAUACGGGCGGACUAGAGUUCGGUAGGGGAGACUGGAAUUCCUGGUGUAGCGGUGAAAUGCGCAGAUAUCAGGAGGAACACCGGUGGCGAAGGCGGGUCUCUGGGCCGAUACUGACGCUGAGGAGCGAAAGCGUGGGGAGCAAACAGG
This 253-nucleotide ribosomal RNA is filed under the name uncultured bacterium. RNAcentral describes it as "partial 16S ribosomal RNA". It matches the Rfam family "Bacterial small subunit ribosomal RNA", at positions 524 to 776 of the family's 1533-position model. The record is from RNAcentral.